UACGUAGGGCGCAAGCGUUAUCCGGAAUUAUUGGGCGUAAAGAGCUUGUAGGCGGUUUGUCGCGUCUGCUGUGAAAUCUCAAGGCUCAACUUUGAGCUUGCAGUGGGUACGGGCAGACUAGAGUGUGGUAGGGGAGACUGGAAUUCCUGGUGUAGCGGUGAAAUGCGCAGAUAUCAGGAGGAACACCGAUGGCGAAGGCAGGUCUCUGGGCAUUAACUGACGCUGGAGGAGCGAAAAGCAUGGGGAGCGAACAGG
Molecule: ribosomal RNA, 255 nt
Filed under: uncultured bacterium
Lineage: Bacteria
Description: partial 16S ribosomal RNA
Rfam family: Bacterial small subunit ribosomal RNA
Source: RNAcentral